This 446-nucleotide ribosomal RNA is filed under the name uncultured bacterium. RNAcentral describes it as "partial 16S ribosomal RNA". It matches the Rfam family "Bacterial small subunit ribosomal RNA", at positions 338 to 795 of the family's 1533-position model. The record is from RNAcentral.
CCUACGGGAGGCUGCAGUCGAGAAUCAUUCACAAUGGGGGAAACCCUGAUGGUGCGACGCCGCGUGGGGGAAUGAAGGUCUUCGGAUUGUAAACCCCUGUCAUGUGGGAGCAAAUUAAAAAGAUAGUACCACAAGAGGACGAGACGGCUAACUCUGUGCCAGCAGCCGCGGUAAGACAGAGGUCUCAAGCGUUGUUCGGAAUCACGGGGCGUAAAGCGUGCGUAGGCUGUUUCGUAAGUCGUGUGUGAAAGGCGCGGGCUCAACCCACGGACUGCACAUGAUACUGCGAGACUAGAGUAAUGGAGGGGGAACCGGAAUUCUCGGUGUAGCAGUGAAAUGCGUAGAUAUCGGGAGGAACACUCGUGGCGAAGGCGGGUUCCUGGACAUUAACUGACGCUGAGGCACGAAGGCCAGGGGAGCGAAAGGGAUUAGAUACCCUUGUAGUC